RNAcentral lists this ribosomal RNA (460 nucleotides) under uncultured bacterium. RNAcentral's name for it is "partial 16S ribosomal RNA". It matches the Rfam family "Bacterial small subunit ribosomal RNA", at positions 338 to 795 of the family's 1533-position model. The record is from RNAcentral.
CCUACGGGAGACUGCAGUGAGGAAUAUUGGUCAAUGGGCGGGAGCCUGAACCAGCCAAGUCGCGUGAGGGAAGACGGUCCUAUGGAUUGUAAACCUCUUUAGGCGGGGAGCAAUGCCGGGCACGCGUGCCCGGAGGGAGAGUCCCCGCAGAAUAAGCAUCGGUUAACUCCGUGCCAGCAGCCGCGGUAUUACGGAGGAUGCGAGCGUUAUCCGGAUUAAUUGGGUUAAAAGGGUGCGUAGGCGGAUUUUUAAGUCAGCGGUAAAAGGUACGGGCUCAACCCGGGCCGGCCGUUGAAACUGGGGGGCUGGAGUGGGCGAGAAGUAUGCGGAAUGCGUGGUGUAGCGGUGAAAUGCAUAGAUAUCACGCAGAACUCCGAUUGCGAAGGCAGCAUACCGGAGCCCGACUGACGCUGAGGCACGAAAGCGUGGGGAUCGAACAGGAUUAGAUACCCCUGUAGUC